UACGAAGGGUGCAAACGUUGCUCGGAAUUAUUGGGCGUAAAGCGCACGUAGGCGGCUUUGCAAGUUCGAUGUGAAAUCCCUCGGCUCAACCAAGGAAGUGCAUCGAAAACUGCAGAGCUUGAGUAGUUAAGAGGAUCGCGGAAUUCCCGGUGUAGAGGUGAAAUUCGUAGAUAUCGGGAGGAGCACCAGUGGCGAAGGCGGCGAUCUGGGAACAUACUGACGCUGAGGUGCGAAAGCGUGGGGAGCAAACAGG
RNAcentral lists this ribosomal RNA (253 nucleotides) under uncultured bacterium. RNAcentral describes it as "partial 16S ribosomal RNA". It matches the Rfam family "Bacterial small subunit ribosomal RNA", at positions 524 to 776 of the family's 1533-position model. The record is from RNAcentral.